UGGGGAAUAUUGCACAAUGGGCGCAAGCCUGAUGCAGCCAUGCCGCGUGUGUGAAGAAGGCCUUCGGGUUGUAAAGCACUUUCAGCGGGGAGGAAGGCGUUAAGGUUAAUAACCUUGGCGAUUGACGUUACCCGCAGAAGAAGCACCGGCUAACUCCGUGCCAGCAGCCGCGGUAAUACGGAGGGUGCAAGCGUUAAUCGGAAUUACUGGGCGUAAAGCGCACGCAGGCGGUCUGUCAAGUCGGAUGUGAAAUCCCCGGGCUCAACCUGGGAACUGCAUUCGAAACUGGCAGGCUAGAGUCUUGUAGAGGGGGGUAGAAUUCCAGGUGUAGCGGUGAAAUGCGUAGAGAUCUGGAGGAAUACCGGUGGCGAAGGCGGCCCCCUGGACAAAGACUGACGCUCAGGUGCGAAAGCGUUGGGAGCAAACAGG
Molecule: ribosomal RNA, 429 nt
Filed under: Chloroflexota bacterium
Lineage: Bacteria; Bacillati; Chloroflexota
Description: Chloroflexi bacterium partial 16S ribosomal RNA
Rfam family: Bacterial small subunit ribosomal RNA
Source: RNAcentral